This is a long non-coding RNA of Drosophila innubila, 349 nucleotides long. RefSeq lists it as uncharacterized. NCBI's taxonomy places the organism in Eukaryota, Metazoa, Arthropoda, Insecta, Diptera, Drosophilidae. The record is from RefSeq and is a predicted model, not a curated record. The transcript is spliced from 3 exons.
UUCAGUUGUAUGAAAGCUAUCGCAGCUAACGGAGAAAACUAAACCCAGAAGCAAUAUAAGUCACAAUAAUUUACACAACAAACAAGUGCGCUAAUUACAGUUCAACUUUAACGGAAAAUCUCUAUACUUUGAAAAAUCUUCAAUAUAAUCAAAAAACGCCUCGAACAAUAACUAAAAUACAAAACACAAUUGGAGCGCAGACAAUUGAGGAAAAAGCUGGAACGAACGCCCACACGACAAGUCACACAAACAGUAGAAAGGUAAGCAAAUCAAGGAUAAGUCACUCGACUGUCACACAUGGCGUAUACGCAAUUCCUAAUUCCAGAGACACACAGGCAAAACGGGCAAA